UAUCUCUCCGUACGGGGAAGGAUGAGAAGCUUCGACUAAGGUUCGAUUCGAGCGCAGCGAGAAAGCGUUGCCGCAGGCAACGACCCGAAGGGCGAAGCGCGCAGCGCUGAGUCAUCCUUCCCCCACCACC
RNAcentral lists this small RNA (130 nucleotides) under Salmonella enterica subsp. enterica. RNAcentral's name for it is "partial RtT sRNA". It matches the Rfam family "RtT RNA". Rfam says of the family: This family represents a bacterial cis-regulatory element known as RtT RNA. Lineage: Bacteria; Pseudomonadati; Pseudomonadota; Gammaproteobacteria; Enterobacterales; Enterobacteriaceae. The record is from RNAcentral.